UUUAGAAGGAGUGAAGCUAUUAAAAAAAUUGCAUCUGCAAACAUUUUAUGACCAUAUAUCUUCUAUCGUUUUUGUCAAUAUUUUACAUAUUUUUUAAGAAUUACAUACUUAUAUAUAUAUAUUCAUUUUUUCUCUUUCUACUCGUCAGAUUAUCAUGUCCUGAUAUAUAUCAGGACAAGUAAUUUAUGCUGAGAGAUUGUAACGUGUUUUCAUGUAUAUUCAGGCAAGUAAUUUAUACUUUCAUGUAUCAAUGAGAGAUCUAAAAACAAAAACGUUGCAAUCACAAGAGUUGUACACACCGAGAAAGGGAAUUCUACACACAUACACAUUCAUGCCCAUAGUUAUUUACUCAUGAUAUCAGAUCAUUAUUAUCAUCUAUGCGGUUGUUAUAACAAAUCUGGUAUGUUUUUUUCUUAGUUAUGUUAUUCUUAUAAUCUCUACCUUAUCUUAUAAUUCUAAUUAGAAAAGUGUAUUCUCUUUUAGUUACGAGAUUUCAAGUUAAUAAUCUUGAAUGAAAAUAAACGUGUUAAAAAAUAUAAGUAAGAAGUUUAGAUCUUAUUCGAUCUUGAAAGAUCCAUAUAUGCUUACAAAAUCUCUAAUUAAAUUUUAUAAUUUAAUCUCAUUAGUUGUAAUUAUUUAUUCUAAAUGAUAUCAAAUAUUCACAGUUUCUGUAUCAUUUACAAUUUUCUUAUUAAAUUCAUCGUGGUGAUAAAAUAAUUACAGGAAAUAAUGAAGAAAAUGCUCCACAAUAAAUCCGUCCAAAUUGCGGCGGUCCAGUAUUACAACAAAACACGGUAACUUUGGGAUACAUAUUGUUAAUUAGUUUUUGUGUCGAUCAUUUCGCACAUAAAAAAUCUAACCCAAUAUAUCAAUGUUCUUCAACUACUAUAAUAGGUCUGAACUUAGCCGUACACCUGCGCAAGAGCUCGGUGGGUAUUUUGGUAAAUUUUAUUAUCCCGAUGGAUAUUUUAAUUGCACAUUUAUUUAUAUAUAAAUAUAAAUAUUUAUAUUUAUUUACAUCCACAUAGCAGCAAAAAAUAAUGAUACAGAACUAGAAAAUAAUUGUAUAUUCUGGUGUAUUAGGGCUAGGGGUACUGAUGCGUUGCCAUGCAAAAUGAUUGGGAUGAAAGGGACCGCUAGUUACAGGAAACUACUGGUUGGUAAUGGUUGUGAAUGAAUAUACAGAGGAGGGUACACAUAUCGCUAGGGCUGUAAUUCGAGCCGAGCCGGGCGAGUUUCGAGCCGAGCCUAAUUCGAGCCAACUUUAAUCGAGCCGAGCCGAGCCGGCUCGAUUAACUAAUCGAGCCUAAAUCUUUGCCCGAACUCGACUCGGUUAAUUUCACGAGUCGAGUCGAGCCGGCUCGUUUAGCUAAACGAGCCGGUUUUAACGAGCCGAGCGAGCCAGCUCGUAUAAUUUUACACUUAAUCGAGCCCAAACCUCUACCCGAACUCGACUCGUUUAAUUUCACGAGUCGAGUCGAGCCGGCUCGUUUAAUUAAACGAGCCGAAACCUUUACCCGAACUCGGCUCGUUUAACGAGUCGAGCCGAGCCGAGCCCACUUAAACGAGUUCGAGCCGGGCGAGCUCGCGAGCCGCCCGACUCGAAUUACAGCCCUACAUAUCGCAGAGAGUGUAUCAUGUUUGGUGUUGGCGAAGGAUUAUAUGGAGCUGCUAAUGCUGACAACUUCUCCUUUUAAUAUAUUAAUUUGUUAGGAACUAUGUAUUAUUUUUUAAGUAAUGAUUUGAGAGCACAUGAGAUUCUUUCUAAGUCACUUCCCACAUUUUGGAGGAACCAUUUUAUUAUUAUUGUCAUAUAUUUGUAAUAAAAUGAUAUUUUAUAAUUUAACUUUUAUUUAAUUAAAUAAUGUUAAUAGUUUAAUAAUCAAAUUAAGUGAUUAAAAAUUAUAUAAUGAACUUGGAAUUUGAACAUGGAUAUAGAAAUAUGGAUCCAAGAUUUUGAGAAUUUGUCGGUGGAGUUAUUUGGAUUCAUCUUUUGACAAAAAAAUUCAUAUAAAUUUUGAAUAUUAUGAUCAAUAGACAAUGUGUGAUAAGUGAAGAAUACAGAAAAUAAGAUACGUUACUUGUUUAUGUAAAAGAGUAAAUUUAACCGUUAUAAAUUUAUAAGUUAAUAUCUAUUAUUUAUUAAUAUUAUAACAUUAAUUAUACUGUUAAUAUUAUAACAGCAACAAAGACUCAAAUAAUAAAAACACUUUGCAUGAUGUCUGUUCAAUGCAAAGUGAUAUGCUGCAACUUGCAUGGUGUAUAGUAAUGGAGAAAAGAUGAUCAAUUUGUUUGGUUUUUUAUAAUUUAAUUUGUUUGUUUUUUUUUAAUCUAUUUUUAUCGUAUCGAUGUGAUUGUUUCCGUUUUUCUAAAAAAGAGUCCCUUCAAAUUUUUUGUCAAAUAUAUUUUUAAUUAAUUAAAUUUAUAUGAGGUAUUGUACUCUUUUACUGAAAAAAAUAAAAAAAUUGAUUAAACUAAAUCAAAGUAUAAAAUUACUUAAAUUUGAUUAAAUAAAAAAACUGCCCACGAUCACGCCGAUUGGCCGGAGCCCGACUCGGGAUCGGAAUUCGGAACUCCCAUAUCCAUAUUCAAGCAAGACACUACUCUGAUCCAAUUUUUUCCAAAUACCUUUCUUUUGGUCAUAGCUCAAUUCCAAUCAUAUUGCCUGCGCCUAAUAUAUAUAUCUAGUCUUUAAACUUUUUCAGUCACUAGCCAAUGUUCUCAAAAACCUGCUUUUUCAAUUAAUCAGGCUACUUGUCCAGACACUUUACAUUCCUGUUUGAGCUGAGCUCCAGUUCCAAAAUCUUCGUCAUGUCAUGGAAACUUUAGUUUAUGAGUUUGUAAUCGUGUUUAUCUGCAAUGCGAAGAUCCUCUUUAAAUCAAUUUUAAGAAUGUUGCUACUUGCUACCAUGUUCAGCAGUUCUUAAGUAAGUCACAAGUUGGAUCGACAACAUGGCAAUUUUAACUCUUUCAUGGAACUAAGAACUGAUCAGCAACAGACUUCGGUUGUUUGUAUUCGCUUGGUAUAGGACUUUCUGUUUUAAUCUCAUUCCCUGUGACGUGCUAAUAAUUGUUGAAAUUCGGACAAUUCAAAAGUUUUGGUUUAGGAUUUAAACAAUCCUAGCCGUGAAUGAGAGUACCAAGCAUAAUAAUCAAGCAGUGGCUUUGAUUUAAAAAUUCUCAAUAUAAAAAACUAGUUAGUUGUAGUUUGUCAUUUCUUCAGAAACUGAUAACAGUCAUUCAUUCUAUAAGUUUCUCAAAAGUUUCUUACUAAUAGUUAAGGCCUGAGGAACAUACAAUUACAAGCCAAACAUUGUUGGGCAGCGCAACACCCGUUAACUCCGCAUUAGUAUGAUAUUGUCCGCUCUGGGCCGUGGCCAAGCCCGCACGGAUUUGCUUUCGAGCUCCUCCCAAAAGACCUCAAACUAAUAGAGUUCUUUGGCUGCUUAUAUUCAAGAUAAAUCUUCUUUAUUUUUCCGAUGUGGGACUUGGGUUGAACCCACUCAACAAUCUCCCCUCAAUCCAAGAACCACUAAUCUUGUGACCCUUAUACCGCCGCUACUCAUCGGUUCAUCAUCUUGCGGGACACGUCGUCCAACCACCGUUGUCGGAAAGACUUUCGACACAAGCCGUCCAAGACCUCCAAUCGUAGUUCUCGAGAGCCUCCCCACAUCACACAACUGCAUCCCACAACCCCAAGAUCAACUUCUUAACCUCGCUCUGAUACCACUUGUUGGGCCGCGCAACACUCGUUAACUCCGCAUUAGUAUGAUAUUGUCCGCUCUGGGCCGUGGCCAAGCCCGCACGGAUUUUCUUUCGGGCUCCUCCCAAAAGGCCCCAUACUAAUGGAGUUCUUUGGCAGCUUAUAUUCAAGAUAAAUCUUCUUUAUCUUUCCGAUGUGGGACUUGGGUUGAACCCACCCAACAAACAUUACAAUAUGAAGCAGAAGUUGACAAUGAUACAAUCAUGUAUGAAACUGAAGCCUUGAAGUUCUACAAUCAAGUAACAGUCAGCUUUCUUUUGAAUGUUAUGUUUUGCUUUCUCUAAAAUUAAACCAUGGAUCAUUGUCUUCGUUGGAUUCUUUUGAUCUUUCUCUGUUUUCCGGUUGCCUUAACUUAUAAUUCAUAGAAUCGAAACUAUGAACUGGUGAAGCCGGGUUUUGCUACACAUCCGAUCCUGCCAACAUGCUUCUUCUUCCCUGUCAACUUCAAGGCUACGGAGACUAAUUCUGCUUCUUCAGUUGAAUUGUUUAUCCAACUGCUAGAAAUUAUACUGAGAAUAUUUGAUCUAACAAUGCACCAAUAUAUUUAUACAUGAUACCGAUUCAUAAAAUAUGUUGGAUAUUUUAUUUUGAAAAAAAUGACAUUGAUUAAUUUUGAAAAUGUUGGAAAGAUUUAAAUGGAAAAAACAACAAAACAUAUAUUAUUUUAAUACUCAAUAUCUAAAACUCGCAAUAGAAAAAGAGGGUGAUUUUUAAUUGUUAAAAUAAAAACAUCGGGGGUUGCAAAACUGUGAGCGUUGCAAAACUACGGACGGUUUUAAUCUUGUGGGCGUGCAAAACUGUGGGCGGUUUUAAUCUUGUCCGUUCAACAAAGCAAAAACGAACGUCCCAGAUCCUUAGAUGGCAUUUUCAAUCGGGUAUAUAAUGAAAGGGGAACAAAAAUUAUUAUACACAAAUUUCAGAGUUCACAAGGAGUGAAGUUAUAAUUUUUUUUGCAUAUAGACACUCAAGUACAAGUAUUUUAUUAUCAUAUAUCUUUUAUUUGAUUUUUCAAUAUUUUACAUAUUUGAAAGAGUUAGGUUACAUACAUAGAUUCAUUUUUUUUUCUCUUUAGUGUCAGAUGAACAUGUUGUAAUAUAUAUGAAGGCAAUCGAUUUAUAUACUCCCAAUUGAUGCUUGAGAGAUUUUUACGUGUUGUCAUACGAGCAAGUAAAUUAUACUUCCAUGAUGAUCCGAUCACAAAAAUUAUACACACCCACCCAGAAAGAGAAAUUCUACACAAAUAUAUAUAGGUGUCUACGAUUAUUUACUCAAGAUAUCAAAUCAUGUUAUUAUUAUCUACACGGCACUUGCAACAAUAUGGAAACAAUGAAGAUAAUGCUCCAAAAUAAAUCCGCCCAGUUGCGACGACCAGUGUUAUCACAAAAGAUGGUCUGGAUUCAGCUCAACACAUGCUCAAUAGCUUGGUGGCUAUUCUGCAAAGCCUUCAACCAUGUUGUUGAGUUGCCCAACAAUCAAUUGAUGGCUUCUUCUUCCUCCCAACCUGGAUGUGGAGAUUGAUGAUGAAAAUCAACUAUCAUGAUUCAGAUGCGGUGUAUAUAUGUGCUCACGCAUGUCAAAGAGAUGACAUUAAGUCAUCCAGAACAUGUUAAGAUGAAGCUGUUGAAAAAAAAGCACCAUCUUCAGGAUCGGAGGGAAGUAUAAUUUAAAAAAAAAUGGGGAUCAGAUGGGAGCAGCAGCAGGAACAUAAUCAUAUAGAAGAAUCAGAAAAUGCAGAGACCGGUGGCCUUUGGGAUCGAUUUUUAUAUUUAAGCUAAAUGUAUCUUUCUUAAUCCGCACCUCUUAAUGUACAAUUGUACAUAAGAAUGUAAGAAAAUUGUCAGAUGUUGAAGUUGCAUUGUUAAUAUACAUCAGUUUGCUACAUACGCAUUGUAAUGAAAUUGUAUCAAAUGGAUGGUUUUGCAGUA
This is a long non-coding RNA of Daucus carota subsp. sativus, 5688 nucleotides long. RefSeq lists it as uncharacterized. Lineage: Eukaryota; Viridiplantae; Streptophyta; Magnoliopsida; Apiales; Apiaceae. The record is from RefSeq and is a predicted model, not a curated record. The transcript is spliced from 5 exons.